This 296-nucleotide long non-coding RNA is filed under the name Mytilus galloprovincialis (Mediterranean mussel). The record is from RNAcentral. Lineage: Eukaryota; Metazoa; Mollusca; Bivalvia; Mytilida; Mytilidae.
AAAAAAAUUACAAUGAAUUUUAAAGAAAUUCUUUUGGUGGAAAUUGAUUACUUUAUUAUAAGAUUGCACAACAUUUUUUUUUUAUGUAUAUUUUGACAAAAUCAUAUUUUAGAGCUUUUUUUACAAUCAUGAUUGUGCAAUUGAGAUACACAGUCAAAAUCAUGUAGUUCACGUCCAUGAUUGUGCAAUUGAGACACACAGUCAAAAUCAUGUAGUUCACGUACCAAUCCAGAAAUUUAGCACUUAAAAACAUUUUGUACAUAAUAUACUGAAUUUCAAAUUUUUUGACAAAGCCA